CACAAUCACAGCUAGUUUCAGGGGGGGGGGGGGGGGAAAGGGUGAAGAACUCAUCGAAUCCGUACGGGCGUCGCGGUAUGUAGACGACGGCGGCGGCGGCGGCUAGGUCCUCUUCGACGGGGAGGAUCACGGCGGCGGCGGCGGCGGUGGUGGUGGUGGAGGAGGAGGGGGUUAGUC
This 177-nucleotide ribosomal RNA is filed under the name uncultured bacterium. RNAcentral describes it as "partial 16S ribosomal RNA". The record is from RNAcentral.